Molecule: ribosomal RNA, 319 nt
Filed under: uncultured eukaryote
Lineage: Eukaryota
Description: partial 18S ribosomal RNA
Rfam family: Eukaryotic small subunit ribosomal RNA
Source: RNAcentral
CCCUUAGAUGAUUUGGGCUGCACGCGCGCUACACUGACCCUAACAAUGAGCAACUGUCUGGCCCGAGAUGGCUGGGUAGCCUUUUCAACCCAUGUCAUGAUUGGGCUAGAUUUUUGUAAGUCUUGAUCUCUAACGAGGAAUCCCUAGUAUGCGUGAAUCAUCAAUCCAUGCAGAUUAUGUCCCUGCCCUUUGUACACACCGCCCGCCGCUCCUACUGAUUGGGUGAUCCGGUGAGCUGUUCGGCCAUAGCAAUGUUUCUUGAGCAGGGCAAUGAAUGUUUCGCAAACCUUGCCACUUAGAGGAAGGAGAAGUCGUAACA